Uranotaenia lowii is the source of this 1662-nucleotide RNA transcript. It is a transcript of the gene named calcium/calmodulin-dependent protein kinase type 1, with no coding region annotated. Lineage: Eukaryota; Metazoa; Arthropoda; Insecta; Diptera; Culicidae. The transcript has 3 exons. The record is from RefSeq and is a predicted model, not a curated record.
CUUGAGCAAUUCAAAUCACUUGAAAGAUUUUGCAAACUGCAUUUAUUAUAAAUCGCCGAUUGGAACUAUUGAAAUAAUCACAUUGAGUAAUCUAUAGUUAUAUUUAUAUAGAUGUGCAAAUUACGCUUAGAGCUGUUACACUAUUUGAUUCGCGGCCAAUCGAUGCUGGAUUAGAACCAACAGUAGCAAAAGAAAAAAAUCGCCAAGCAUUUACGGAAACCUGUUAGAUUUUUUGAUUGAAAACUCUAUAUUCUGAUAAAAACAAAACAACUUUACGUAAAAAUCGUUAGAAGUCCCUGAAAAAGUGUCAUUGUAUCAAUAAUUUUACCAUGCCUCUUUUUGGUAAAAAAGAUUCAGGAAAAAAGGCCAGAAAAGAUCCUAAAGAAUAUGAUAAACAACCAUGCAUCGAGGAUAAAUAUACCAUAAAGGAACUUUUAGGUACCGGCGCAUUUUCUGAGGUUCGAUUUUGCGAACUUCGCGAAACAGGCCAAGCUUUUGCUGUGAAAAUAAUCGACAAAAAAGCUCUCAAAGGAAAAGAGGAUUCCCUCGAAAAUGAAAUUCGAGUUUUAAAGAGAUUUAGUGCUAACAAAUCAGAUCCCAAUGCAGAUAAAAAUAUAUUUACUCAUCCUAAUAUCGUUCAGCUUUAUGAAACCUAUGAAGAUAAAGCUAAAGUAUAUUUGAUUAUGGAACUUGUUACUGGUGGCGAAUUGUUUGACAGAAUUGUAGAAAAAGGUUCUUACACGGAAAAAGAUGCAUCUUGUCUUAUCCGACAAGUUUUGGAAGCCGUUGAUUAUAUGCACGAACAAGGGGUUGUCCAUCGUGAUUUGAAACCUGAAAAUCUACUCUAUUAUAGUACAGCAGAAGACAGCAAAAUAAUGAUAAGCGAUUUCGGUUUAUCGAAAAUGGAGGAUUCAGGUUUUAUGGCAACAGCUUGUGGAACUCCAGGCUAUGUAGCUCCGGAAGUUUUGGCUCAAAAGCCGUAUGGAAAAGCAGUAGAUAUAUGGAGCAUAGGAGUUAUUUCCUACAUUUUACUCUGUGGGUAUCCCCCAUUUUACGACGAAAACGAUGCUAAUCUCUUCGCUCAAAUACUCAAAGGUGAAUUUGAAUUCGACUCUCCUUAUUGGGACGAAAUCAGCGAUUCUGCGAAGGAUUUCAUCAAGAAUCUUAUGUGCGUCAAUGUAGAGAAACGGUUUACAUGCAAACAAGCCUUGGCACACGCUUGGAUAUCUGGUAACGCAGCAAGUAGUAAAAAUAUUCACGGAACCGUUUCCGAGCAACUUAAGAAAAAUUUUGCAAAAUCUCGGUGGAAGCAAGCCUAUCAUGCAGCAACCGUCAUACGCCAAAUGCAACGAAUGGCUCUAAGCAGCGGAUCUUAUGGACGAAGCUCUUCUCAGAUAAGCAACACAUCUGCCGAAACUUUAAUUAAAACAGAUGCAGCUUCUACAAGUAAAUAAACUCUUCUAAAUUCAUAUGUGCCGUUAAGCACUGUAGUCUAGAUAGAUUUCAACAAAGUUGUAGUUCUAAUAUGUACAAGUAUGCGUGAUCAGAAUUCUGGUAUGAGAUAGCGAAGAAAUAAUAUAUUAACUGCAGAAUAUGAUUCCGUUUAUUGUGUAAAAUUUUCCUAGAACGAUAAAUAUAACAAUAAUGUUUCCUGUGUUUUCA